GGUCUUUAGAAUCCCUCCUGGACCGUCAGGUGAGGAGUAUUUUUAUUGAAGAACAUCUGAGAGAAGCUUGUAGAAAGCUUUAAAGGAGGAACUCAAAGCAGCUUCAGUGUUUGUUUCUGUCCAGUUCAGGUUCUAGGUUCAGGAUCUAGGUUCAGGUCUCAGGUUCAGGACCUAGGUUCAGAAUUGAGGUUCAGGUCUCAGGUCUCAGGUUCAGGAUCUAGGUUCAGGUCUCAGGUUCAGGAUCUAGUUUCAGAAUGUAGGUUCAGGAUCUAGGUUCAGGUCUCAGGAUCUAGGUUCAGCAUCUAGGUUCAGAAUCUGGGUUCAGGAUCUAGGUUCAGGUCUCAGGUUCAGAAUCUGGGUUCAGGUCUCCUGAGGACCCCGUUGAGUUCAGUCUGAGGGUUCAGGAAAGCGUCACUCUGUGAUGAAGUGGACGAAGGUCACGGGGAAUGCUCCUCUCCGGGUCGGAU
Long non-coding RNA from Labrus mixtus (cuckoo wrasse), 467 nucleotides. RefSeq lists it as uncharacterized. The transcript is spliced from 3 exons. Lineage: Eukaryota; Metazoa; Chordata; Actinopteri; Labriformes; Labridae. The record is from RefSeq and is a predicted model, not a curated record.